AUCCAGAUGACGAUUCUUAAAUAGGAAGAAACGUGCGUCCUGGAA
RNAcentral lists this non-coding RNA (45 nucleotides) under Schistosoma mansoni. The record is from RNAcentral. Lineage: Eukaryota; Metazoa; Platyhelminthes; Trematoda; Strigeidida; Schistosomatidae.